AAUAAUCACAACUUUCAACAAUGGAUCUCUUGGUUCUGGCAUCGAUGAAGAACGCAGCGAAAUGCGAUAAGUAGUGUGAAUUGCAGAAUUCAGUGAAUCAUCGAAUCUUUGAACGCACAUUGCGCCCCUUGGUAUUCCAUGGGGCAUGCCUGUUCGAGCGUCAUUUACACCCUCAAGCUCUGCUUGGUGUUGGGCGUCUGUCCCGCCUAUGCGUGGACUCGCCUUAAAGGUAUCGGCGGCGGCCUUUGCCAGCUUCUCGCGCAGCGAAAUGCGCUUCUCGAGGCGAAGCAGUAGGCACGCGUCCGCGAAGUUCACCUUCAUGACUUGACCUCGGAUCAGGUAGGGAUACCCGCUGAACUUAAGCAUAUCAAUAAGCGGAGGAAA
RNAcentral lists this ribosomal RNA (384 nucleotides) under uncultured fungus. RNAcentral's name for it is "eukaryotic LSU rRNA". The stretch from base 10 to 163 matches the Rfam family "5.8S ribosomal RNA". Lineage: Eukaryota; Fungi. The record is from RNAcentral.